AAGUCGUAACAAGGUUUCCGUAGGUGAACCUGCGGAAGGAUCAUUAAUGAGUUAGGGUCUCCGGGCCCGACCUCCAACCCUUUGUCGUUACAAAACCACUUGUUGCUUUGGCGUGGACCGCCCGCAAGGGCUGCCGGUCUCAGGCCCGGCAUGCGCCCGCCAGAGGAAAAACCAAACUCUUGUCUAUCAAACCGCGAGUCUGAGUACAACCGAUUAAAUCAAUCAAAA
Molecule: unclassified non-coding RNA, 228 nt
Filed under: plant metagenome
Description: partial contains small subunit ribosomal RNA and internal transcribed spacer 1
Rfam family: Eukaryotic small subunit ribosomal RNA (bases 1-46)
Source: RNAcentral